This 550-nucleotide ribosomal RNA is filed under the name uncultured bacterium. RNAcentral's name for it is "bacterial SSU rRNA". It matches the Rfam family "Bacterial small subunit ribosomal RNA", at positions 355 to 896 of the family's 1533-position model. The record is from RNAcentral.
UAGGGAAUCUUCGGCAAUGGGGGCAACCCUGACCGAGCAACGCCGCGUGAGUGAAGAAGGUUUUCGGAUCGUAAAGCUCUGUUGUAAGUCAAGAACGAGUGUGAGAGUGGAAAGUUCACACUGUGACGGUAGCUUACCAGAAAGGGACGGCUAACUACGUGCCAGCAGCCGCGGUAAUACGUAGGUCCCGAGCGUUGUCCGGAUUUAUUGGGCGUAAAGCGAGCGCAGGCGGUUUGAUAAGUCUGAAGUUAAAGGCCGUGGCUCAACCAUAGUUCGCUUUGGAAACUGUCAAACUUGAGUGCAGAAGGGGAGAGUGGAAUUCCAUGUGUAGCGGUGAAAUGCGUAGAUAUAUGGAGGAACACCGGUGGCGAAAGCGGCUCUCUGGUCUGUAACUGACGCUGAGGCUCGAAAGCGUGGGGAGCGAACAGGAUUAGAUACCCUGGUAGUCCACGCCGUAAACGAUGAGUGCUAGGUGUUGGAUCCUUUCCGGGAUUCAGUGCCGCAGCUAACGCAUUAAGCACUCCGCCUGGGGAGUACGACCGCANGGUUG